This 762-nucleotide ribosomal RNA is filed under the name Macrorhabdus ornithogaster. Its description in RNAcentral is "SSU rRNA". It matches the Rfam family "Eukaryotic small subunit ribosomal RNA", at positions 636 to 1429 of the family's 1831-position model. The record is from RNAcentral. Lineage: Eukaryota; Fungi; Ascomycota; Saccharomycetes; Saccharomycetales.
UUUAUAUUACUAGUCAGAUGGAAAUCUAGUACUAGAAAUGAUAUAAAUCUUUCCUUCUGGGUAAAUUUAUUAAAGAAAUUUAAUAAAUAAUAACCAGGACGAUUACUUUGAAAAAAUUAGAGUGUUCAAAGCAGGCGAGAAGCAUGAAUAUAUUAGCAUGGAAUAAUAGAAUAGGACGUUUGGACCUAUUUUGUUGGUUUUUAGGACCAUCGUAAUGAUUAAUAGGGACGGUCGGGGGCAUCAGUAUUCAAUUGUCAGAGGUGAAAUUCUUAGAUUUAUUGAAGACUAACUACUGCGAAAGCAUUUGCCAAGGACGUUUUCAUUAAUCAAGAACGAAAGUUAGGGGAUCGAAGAUGAUCAGAUACCGUCGUAGUCUUAACCAUAAACUAUGCCAACUAGGGAUCGGGUGGAGUUUAAAUAUAGACGCACUCGGGACCUUAAGAGAAAUCAAAGUAUUUGGGUUCUGGGGGGAGUAUGGUCGCAAGGCUGAAACUUAAAGGAAUUGACGGAAGGGCACCACCAGGAGUGGAGCCUGCGGCUUAAUUUGACUCAACACGGGGAAACUCACCAGGUCCGGACACAAUAAGGAUUGACAGAUUGAGAGCUCUUUCUUGAUUUUGUGGGUGGUGGUGCAUGGCCGUUCUUAGUUGGUGGAGUGAUUUGUCUGCUUAAUUGCGAUAACGAACGAGACCUUAACCUACUAAAUAGUGGAAUUAGCUAAAAGUAGCUGAAGAGACCACUUCUUAGAGGGACAGUUGGUUU